This is a non-coding RNA of Podarcis lilfordi (Lilford's wall lizard), 74 nucleotides long. The record is from the annotation of a GenBank genome assembly. NCBI's taxonomy places the organism in Eukaryota, Metazoa, Chordata, Lepidosauria, Squamata, Lacertidae.
GGAGAGCUGUAGCUCAGUGGUAGAACAUCUGUGUUUCAUGCAGAAUGUCCCAGAUUCAAUCCCCAGCAUCUCCA